UACGUAGGGUGCAAGCGUUGUCCGGAAUUAUUGGGCGUAAAGAGCUCGUAGGCGGUCUGUCGCGUCGGAUGUGAAAAUCCAGGGCUCAACCCUGGACCUGCAUUCGAUACGGGCAGACUAGAGUUCGGUAGGGGAGACUGGAAUUCCUGGUGUAGCGGUGAAAUGCGCAGAUAUCAGGAAGAACACCCGUGGCGAAGGCGGCUCUCUGGGACGGUACUGACGCUGAGACGCGAAAGCGUGGGGAGCGAACAGG
RNAcentral lists this ribosomal RNA (253 nucleotides) under uncultured bacterium. RNAcentral's name for it is "partial 16S ribosomal RNA". It matches the Rfam family "Bacterial small subunit ribosomal RNA", at positions 524 to 776 of the family's 1533-position model. The record is from RNAcentral.